RNAcentral lists this ribosomal RNA (242 nucleotides) under uncultured bacterium. RNAcentral's name for it is "partial 16S ribosomal RNA". It matches the Rfam family "Bacterial small subunit ribosomal RNA", at positions 118 to 354 of the family's 1533-position model. The record is from RNAcentral.
UGAGCAACCUGCCCUUGACCCUGGAAUAACAGUUGGAAACAGCUGCUAAUACCGGAUACGACCUCUUUCGACAUCUGAAGAGGUGGAAAGCUCCGGCGGUCAAGGAUGGGCUCGCGGCCUAUCAGCUUGUUGGUGAGGUAACGGCUCACCAAGGCUUCGACGGGUAGCCGGCCUGAGAGGGCGACCGGCCACACUGGGACUGAGAUACGGCCCAGACUCCUACGGGAGGCAGUAGGUAGGGG